This 543-nucleotide ribosomal RNA is filed under the name uncultured bacterium. RNAcentral's name for it is "partial 16S ribosomal RNA". It matches the Rfam family "Bacterial small subunit ribosomal RNA", at positions 355 to 890 of the family's 1533-position model. The record is from RNAcentral.
UGGGGAAUUUUGGACAAUGGGGGAAACCCUGAUCCAGCCAUCCCGCGUGUGCGAUGAAGGCCUUCGGGUUGUAAAGCACUUUUGGCAGGAAAGAAACGUCGCGGGUUAAUACCCCGCGAAACUGACGGUACCUGCAGAAUAAGCACCGGCUAACUACGUGCCAGCAGCCGCGGUAAUACGUAGGGUGCAAGCGUUAAUCGGAAUUACUGGGCGUAAAGCGUGCGCAGGCGGUUCGGAAAGAAAGAUGUGAAAUCCCAGAGCUUAACUUUGGAACUGCAUUUUUAAACUACCGGGCUAGAGUGUGUCAGAGGGAGGUGGAAUUCCGCGUGUAGCAGUGAAAUGCGUAGAUAUGCGGAGGAACACCGAUGGCGAAGGCAGCCUCCUGGGAUAACACUGACGCUCAUGCACGAAAGCGUGGGGAGCAAACAGGAUUAGAUACCCUGGUAGUCCACGCCCUAAACGAUGUCAACUAGCUGUUGGGGCCUUCGGGCCUUGGUAGCGCAGCUAACGCGUGAAGUUGACCGCCUGGGGAGUACGGUCGGC